RNAcentral lists this long non-coding RNA (1040 nucleotides) under Homo sapiens (human). RNAcentral describes it as "HSALNT0405902". The record is from RNAcentral. Lineage: Eukaryota; Metazoa; Chordata; Mammalia; Primates; Hominidae.
CCUUUGUGUCCUCAUAGCUUAGCUCCCAUAUAUCAGUGAGAACAUACGAUGUUUGAUUUUCCAUUUCUACCAAAUACAACAUGAAGCAUUAUCCAAGUAUGACCUGCACAUUCCCGGCCUCUGCCUGCAGGUGUUCUUUAAAUGUAAUUCUAAUUUCUUUUAAGGAUAUACAUGAAUGUUAUAUGAAAAGCCGAAUAGCUCUAUAAGACUUAUCAUGAAAAACAGCAGUUCCUGCCCCUGCCCUGAACCUCAUUCAUUUCCUCCCCUAAAGGCAUUUUCAACUCUUCUAGUUGUGUGUGUGUGUGUAUUUUUCAGCAUUAACCUUUGUAUUUCAAACUAUUAUAUCUCUUUUUCCAGGAUGGUGAAUUAGAGGCUUUUAGCAUGUCUUAGCCACUUGGAAAUUCAUAAAGAUAAACUCUGUGAGCUUUAAUUUAAGAAGAAAAAUGGGAAAUCCACAAGAAUUGUGAAGGACACCUCAGAUCCCAGGAAGGAGAAUUCAGGCAAAAAGCCCCCAUGCUGGCAUCAGGCGGAUAAGGAUUUCAGUCAAGGAGAUGCCUACCUGGGGACAGAAUCUGGAAAAGACCUCAAAAUAGAUCUUCUCAAGGCACCCGGAGGCAAACGAGGCAUAGACACACUAGGAUAAAAGCUGUCUUCAAGUCAGAGCCCUCCCUAGGGCUCCAGGCAGAGCAAAGGACCAGAUCUCCCCCUCUGCACUCCCCACCUACAGAUGAGCACCCAGGCAGGGGACACUCAAAGCAGGUGAAUGAGACAGGGGGGGCAUGCAGAAGCCUUGAUCUCCGAGUGGUCUGUGGCCGUGAGGUGGAGAGAUACAACUGCUUUGUCGAGGACCCAAGGGAAAACCGAGCCGUGGCUGUCUGAGUCUUAUCAAAGGAAAAACGCUCAGGUCCCCCGCAUGGCAAAGCUGGAGGGCAAGCACACAUUUGAGGUCAUCUGUACCCAUCAGCCUCCCAAGGCACAGGACAGGAAAAAAAGCACACAUAGAUCAGGAGGGAGAGAAGGAAGACAUCCAUUACACUGGA